Molecule: RNA transcript, 526 nt
Organism: Piliocolobus tephrosceles (Ugandan red Colobus)
Lineage: Eukaryota; Metazoa; Chordata; Mammalia; Primates; Cercopithecidae
Gene name: putative 60S ribosomal protein L37a
Exons: 1
Source: RefSeq, a predicted model, not a curated record
UUUGAGGGGUGAUGGAAAUGUUUUUUUUUUUUUUUGUAAUUAUAAAAUUAAAAGUCAAAGGCGGAGAACUGCUUCCCAGAGAGCAGUUUCGAAACUAUUUGUAGCCAAGUUUAAUUUGUUAUAUUUUAUUUUUAUUAUAAAAAAAUUUCUUUCUGGGCUCGGACCUAGUUCGCGAUGACAUGGCCAAACGUACCAAGAAAGUCGGGAUCGUCGGUAAAUACGGGACCCGCUAUGGGGCCUCCCUCCGGAAAAUGGUGAAGAAAAUUGAAAUCAGCCAGCACGCCAAGUACACUUGCUCUUUCUGUGGCAAAACCAAGAUGAAGAGACGAGCUGGGGGAUCUGGCACUGUGGUUCCUGCCUGAAGUCAGUGGCCGGCGGUGCCUGGACAUACAAUAUCACUUCCGCUGUCACGGUAAAGUCCGCCAUCAGAAGACUGAAGGAGUUGAAAGACCGGUAGACGCUCCUCUACUCUUUGAGACAUCACUGGCCUAUAAUAAAUGUGUUAAUUUAUGUAAAAAAAAAAAAA